GGAGAACAUGUUCGUCAGGCAAAGAUGUCCCAACGAAUGAGCCCAGUCGGGCGCUGUCUCCAGAAGGGCCGGAUGGGUCGUGCGGAGGCCAGGUGUGGCCAGGGACCCGCACUCAGCACCUGUAGAUGAUCCAGACGGACCGGUGAUGUGCAUGAAUCCAACCGCUCCCCACCUGGCUGGUCAGCCAUGUUCCCACCUCUGCCAACUGCUCUGGGAACCAAACCUCUCCUGAGCCUCAGAACCACGCCCGCCCCUGCCAGGCAGGCCUCACGGUGCGAGGCAAGGUGGGUUGGACAUCUGGGGACAAGAUGGCCAGUGACUAUACCCACCCCACCCAGCUGGCCUGGACCGCAGACUCCACCCCGGGGUCCAGGUGCAUGGACCCUGGGGCAUGGCUGGGCCAGGGCUCCUGGAGGCAGCAGUGGAGGCCGACUCAGGGCAGGGAGAAGUCGGCAUCGGUUGUGCACCACUGAAUACGCACCGUGAUACUGUGCUUCACGGUAAAUAUAUAUUUGGUCUUCGCCCCUGUUUCUGGCACAGAUUUCCCCAAUUUCCCGAGUGAUGAAAACCGUGA
Molecule: long non-coding RNA, 574 nt
Organism: Felis catus (domestic cat)
Lineage: Eukaryota; Metazoa; Chordata; Mammalia; Carnivora; Felidae
Exons: 2
Source: RefSeq, a predicted model, not a curated record